RNAcentral lists this ribosomal RNA (350 nucleotides) under Rhizopus arrhizus. RNAcentral's name for it is "SSU rRNA". It matches the Rfam family "Eukaryotic small subunit ribosomal RNA", at positions 1119 to 1470 of the family's 1831-position model. The record is from RNAcentral. Lineage: Eukaryota; Fungi; Mucoromycota; Mucoromycetes; Mucorales; Rhizopodaceae.
GGGAGUAUGGGACGCAAGGCUGAAACUUAAAGGAAUUGACGGAAGGGCACCACCAGGAGUGGAGCCUGCGGCUUAAUUUGACUCAACACGGGGAAACUCACCAGGUCCAGACAUAGUAAGGAUUGACAGAUUGAAAGCUCUUUCUAGAUUCUAUGGGUGGUGCAAUGAUGUGCGAUGCUGUUCGUGGAGUGAUUUGUCUGGUUAAUUCCGAUAACGAACGAGACCUUAUUCUGCUAAUUAGACAGGCUAACUCUUUCGGGUUGGUUUAUAUUUAAUAUUUAACUGGCUUCUUACAGAGACUAUCGGCUUCAAGCCGAAGGAAGUUUGAGAAAAUAACAGGUCUGUGAUGC